UGAGGAAAGGACGCGGAUGCAGACUAUUGGAUGCCCUAAUGAGAAGGUGAGAUUCUCAAUAAUAUUUAUUUUGUGGUUGAUCAUUUUUGGUUAUUUAUUGUAAUCUUAAUCAUGAUUCAAAUUUGAUAUAACACAUUUUAGAGCAUAAUUAGAGGAUUAUUAAAUCAGAAAACAUUUCAAAUGCAUAUGCAUGAAAUAUUAACCUAAGAUAUUGAUGUUGAAAUAAGAAACAUUUGCUAAUGGAUUCUUUGUGUCAGUCAGUCAGUCAGUCAGAAAGCAAACACUUAUUAUUGUCUCUAUAGAAAAUAUUGUUGUUGUCACAUCCUGACCAUAGAAAACCUUUAUUUUCUAUGGUAGAGUAGGUCAGGGCGUGACUAGGGGGGUUAGUUUAGUUUAUAUUUUCUAUUUGGGGUUCUAGGUUGUUUUUUCUAUGUUGGGGUUUUGGUAUGAUUCCCAAUUAGAGGCAGCUGGCUAUCAUUGUCUCUAUUUGAGGAUCAUACUUAAGUAGCAUUUUUUCCACCUGUGUGUUAUGGGAUAUUGUUUGGAGUUAGUGCACAUCUGUAGUCACGGCUUGUUUGUUUGUUUUGUUUCACUAUUAAUAAAGUAUGUUGAACUCUACAUUCGCUGCGCCUUGGUCCAUCUCUACAAACGAACGUGACAGUUGUUUUUUCGUGCUUUGAUUAUUGGUUAUUGCUAAUCCAUAUUUGCCACUGCAUUUAGCUCAGCAUAAAACAUGUUUUGCAUUCAUAUCACUGAGUACCAUUAUUUAAACAGGUAAGUCAAUUGAGAAUCAAUUUUGCAUCAGUAACUGGUGUGUUUUUUUUUUGACAUAGAAGAUCUGUUCAUAGAUGAAGACUUUAUCUAUUCACCUGUUGAUCCACUUCCUUUAUUCACUUCCUCGUUUAUCCUACAAUACCUUCUAACAUGGAGGACUUGGAAACCUUAAACCACAAUUGUUCUAGGUUCGCAACAGAUUUCGGUCAGGUUCUCAACGUCUCCUUUAUGUUCUGUCCUUUACAAUAACGUUGAGUAACGGGGUCAGUCACACCAUCUUCCUGGGCUCCUGCCGUUUCCGGACCCCUCCGGGGGUACCUGUAGGCCUCUCGGGCCACAGUGGACCUAGCAGUGGGGGUACUGCUCAUCACACAGAGAUACAGGCACCACUGGCGGGAAGAGAAGAACCACAGCCACAGGGGGUUGGUCCCUGUUUCCUGAUAGGACCCAUAUUCGCUGGGUGUGCGUUAGUUUCAGUGACCACCAUCUUCCUGCUGUCAGUGGAGAGGGGUAUAACGGUGCUGAAACCCCUGCAUAAGAACCUAGUGGUGACCAGAGAGAGGACUCUGUGGCUGAUCGCCCUCUCCUGGCUGUUCUGCUUCCUCCUGGCUGUCUCCCCUCUUCCUCAGAUGCGAUGAUAUCACUCUGGAGUACAACCUCUGCAGCAAGAUGUGUAACUACGCAAUAUUAUCAAGAACAUAAGAGCACCACUGGGGGAGGGUGAUGCUUCUCUUCCCUGCCUUCAAUAUCUCUCUCCUGGGGGCCACCUCAGUCGUCAACCUGGUCACCUUCUCUGCUGUCCGCAGCUUCUGCCACGCCAGGAAGCAAGUGCUCACUAAAGCUCAACACACACACGGGUCUGCCUUUUACAACCUGCGAGCGGCCAAGACCAUUCUUAUCCUUACAGCCUUCCUCUUAUCCUCGGUGGUCCCCGUGGCGGUUCUCGUGGUGGGGAGUGUUCCAGGUGUAGUCUGGUGUCGGUUCUCCCGCUAUGCCUUCUGGCUUCUAGCCUGCAGUAGUGGGUGGAAUAUUCUGAUCUACAGCGCACGGGACCAUCGGUUCCGUCAGAGGGUGCAGGAGCUGUUCCUGGGGAAAGUGGGCAGCAGGAUGCGGGUGCAGAGCUGGGUCGGACCCCUGCACUGGCUCAUUGGGGUUGAGGAAGGUCGGGACGCAGUGUGGCAGUCAUCAGCAAUGUCUUGGCUCCUGACUUUACACUGACAUAAAUACGCACCUCAGAGAUCACCGUCAGACAUGAGGUCCCCACGGUCACCAGUCUUAGGAGGACAGGUUAGCUAUUUGUUCUAAAAAAAUGUAAUAAAAAAAUCUAACAGUUUAUCUAAAAAAAAAAAUAAGUAGAGAAGUUGCCAUAGCAGUUGGAUAGCCAACCGACCUGCAGUAAAAGUCCAAAUAAGAAGAGAAAUAUGAGGUCUAACAUAUUUAAGGCAGUUGUAUGUCCAAAAUAAGGUUGGGCGCUGUAUGAUAGUGAUCAGGGAUGUUUUGAGCUUUGAAACUCAACGUUUCGGCUCCAGUGCAACUACAAUCAGGAAAAAAAGGUGCUAACUAGAACCUAAAAGUGGUCUUACGGCUGUCCCCAUAGGAGAACCCUUUUAGUUCCAGCUAGAACCUUUUUGGAUUCCAUGUAGUGUUUCCAAAAGGGUUAGAGCUGGAACCAAAAAAAUAAUCUUGCUGGAACCAAAAAUGGUUCUCCUAUGGGGACAGCCAACGAAUCCUUUUUUUCUAAGUGUAGACUGCAUGGUUUUAUCAUGAGCAUUGUCUAUGGUUUCUAUAUGAUACAAAUAAUAUUGUAUUUGUCACAUGGACCGCAUACAACAUGAAAUGGUUAUUUACGAGCCCUUAACCAACAAUGCAGUUUUAAGAAAAUAGAGCUAAGAAAAUAUCUACUAAAUUAACUCCAGUUUAAAAAAGGAACACAAUAAAAUAACAAUGAGGCUAUAUACAGGGGGUGGUACUGAGUCAAUGUGCGCAGGGGACAGGUUAGUCGAGGUAAUUCAUGUAAUUUGACAAAUUAAAGGAGAACAGCACACUCUAGGAGCUCCGGUGCAAUAAUUGAAUUACCUAAUAUCCAACGUUUCAACAGACAAGCUGUCUUCAUUAGGGUAUAAUAACAAACACUAUGGGGUGACUAGUUCAUAUAGUGUCAAAGGACACACACAGGUGUCUGUAAUCAUGGCCGGGUGUGGCCUUAUAUCAUUGGUUAAUUCUCAUAUUAAAAUAGCAUUCAAAAAACAUAAAUGGAUAGCAUACGAUCAUAGAUACAAUUUGGCUACAUAGGCCUACAAACAUUUACAAUAGCAAAAUCACAAUAAUCACAAGAAUGGCUUCAGAUCAAAGUCUACGUUGAGACCAAAGGGAGCAAGGGUCUUUAAAUUGAGGUAAUUUGUACAUGUAGGUCGGGGUAAAGUGACUAUGCAUAGAUAAUAAACAGAGAGUAGCAGCAGUGUAAAAACAAAGGGGGGUCAAUGCAAAUAGUCCAGGUGGCCAUUUUAUUAAUUGUUCAGCAGACUUAUGGCUUGGGGGUAGAAGCUGUUAAGGAGCCUUUUGGACCUCUGUGGUAGCAGAGAGAACAGUCUUUGACUUGGGUGACGGGAGUCUUUUACUAUUUUUUUCAGCCUUCCUCUGACACCGCCUGGUAUAUAGGUCAUGGAUGGCAAGAAGCUUGGCCCUAGUGAUGUACUGGGCUGUACGCAUUACCCUCUGUAGCACCUUAUGGUUGAAUGCUGAGCAGUUGCCAUGCCAGGUGGUGAUGCAACUGGGCUGGAUGUUCUCGAUAGUGCAAUUGUAACACUUUUUGAGGAUCUGGGGACGCAUGCCAAAUCUUUUCAGUCUCCCGAGGGGGAAUAGGCGUUGUCGUGCCCUCUUCACGACUGUCUUGGUGAGUUUGGACCAUGAUAGUUUGUUGGUGAUGUGGACACCAAGGAACUUGAAGCUCUCGAACCGCUUCAUACAGAUAAGAUAUAGCUGAAUUCUAACUUGAUGCUUUCACAAAGCGAUGUAAACUCAAUGAACUGCUAUUUCCUUGUACGGAGGACGGUGACAUUCAGAAUGUUGUAAUUGUGUGAGUGUUGAUUCAAUGUACAUUCAAAUGAGUCACUGGCUGUGGAAGAAAUGACAUAUUAAGCACAUCAUAAAACAACCAAUUUCAGGUGGGAGGGAAGUUCCUCUUGUUUCUAUCUCCUCUGGUAAUCAUUUGUCUGGUCAGAUGAGAGAUGGACUGAUGCUAGCUGAUCCUGUUAGUAUACAACUCAGCUAGCCUGAUAGGUAGCAUCUAAUAGUUUGUGAAUUCACUUGAAUAACAGAAGCUUGUAAGUCAGCCUUGACUUUUUAUUCGUUGCAUCUUGUCUUUCUCUCUCAAUUUAAUUUCAUGUUUAAAAAUUGUAUUACAAUGUAUAUUACUGCCUUAAUUUUUGCUGCACCCCAGGAAGAGUAGCAGCUGCCUUGGCAGAUCCUAAUGGGGAUCCAUAAUAAAUACCAAAUCAAAGGCCUUUAUUGGCAUUGGAAACAUGUUUACAUUGCCAAAGUAAGUGAAAUAGGUAAUACAUACAAGUGAAAUAAACAAUCAGAAAUUAACAGUAAACAUUACACUCACAAAAGUUUCAAAAUAAUAGAGACAUGUCAAAUGUUAUAUUUUGGCUCUGUACAGUGUUGUGAAAAUGUGGAGAAUUUCUCUCUGUCUCUCUCUCUCUGGCUGUCUUACGCUCACUCUCUUUCUCCUAUUUCUCUCUUUAUUUCUUGCAAAAACUUAAUUACUUUUGCUUUGCUGAACAGCUUUGACUAGUGCCUAGUGUGUGUGUGCGAGCAUGUGUAUCCUAUACAUAUGUCCAUUGCAGGUUUUGCUUUGGUUAUUGCUCCAGGGUAAAGCCCGCUAUAACACAUAGGUUUAACAAAAUCUAAAUGUAUUCUAGCAUUUAAAUAGGAUUGCGGACAAGGCCCUCAUGCUUCAGCAGCUUGUUACAGCUUGAUGAGGAUUCAUUGAUUGUUUUGAUGCCAAGGAAAAACACCACCCAAGGAGGAAAGGAGAUACACCCUCUAAGGUCUUUGUCCAGUUCUUCUGGUAAAAGAGACUAUCUCAACAAGACUUCUGAAAAAUCACAGCACCCCAUGACUAGCCUGGUUGACACUCGAUCCACGUAACUACACAGCGAGUUGAAAACUUGGGGAGCUGGUGUCAGACUACCCCACGGCAACUUAUUUGACAAAUAUUGUAUUACAUAACAUGCCUAUGGAUGUUGCUAAAGACAAAGAUAAAUACAUAAUUUUCCAUGUCUUAUGUCCAGUGUUGUUUGGUUCAGAGGUCACCCGACCUGACCUGGUCUCACAUGGGUUGUCACGCCCUGAUCUGUUUCACCUGAUCUGUUUCAUUGUCUCCACCCCCUCCAGGUGUCACUUAUUUUCCACAGUGUAUUUUCCUGUCUCUCUGUGCCAGUUCGUCUUGUAUGUUUCCAAGUCAACCAGUGUUUCUAGUCCUCCUGGUUUUGACCCUUGCCUGUUUCUGGACUUUGUACCCGCCUGCCUGACCACGAGCCUGUCUGCCACUCUGUACGUCCUGGACUCUAAUCUGGUUUUGACCUUUUUGCCUGUCCACGACCAUUCUCUUACCUACUCCUUUGAAUUAAUAAACUUUGUAAGACUCCAAACAUCUGCCUCCUGUGUCUGCAUUUGGGUCUCGCCUUGUGCCUUGAUAUGGGUAGGUUAUACAGCCCAAACACAUUAACUUCUGCUUUCUG
This is a long non-coding RNA of Salvelinus fontinalis (brook trout), 5519 nucleotides long. RefSeq lists it as uncharacterized. The transcript is spliced from 3 exons. Lineage: Eukaryota; Metazoa; Chordata; Actinopteri; Salmoniformes; Salmonidae. The record is from RefSeq and is a predicted model, not a curated record.